Molecule: ribosomal RNA, 301 nt
Filed under: uncultured bacterium
Lineage: Bacteria
Description: partial 16S ribosomal RNA
Rfam family: Bacterial small subunit ribosomal RNA
Source: RNAcentral
CAGCAGCCGCGGGAAUACGAAGGGGGCUAGCGUUGCUCGGAAUGACUGGGCGUAAAGGGCGCGUAGGCGGCGAUCAAAGUCAGGCGUGAAAUUCCUGGGCUCAACCUGGGGGCUGCGUUUGAUACUUGAUUGCUAGAGUGGGGAAGAGGGUCGUGGAAUUCCCAGUGUAGAGGUGAAAUUCGUAGAUAUUGGGAAGAACACCGGUGGCGAAGGCGGCGACCUGGUCCUUGACUGACGCUGAGGCGCGAAAGCGUGGGGAGCAAACAGGAUUAGAUACCCGCGUAGUCCCUGUCUCUUAUAC